Long non-coding RNA from Xenia sp. Carnegie-2017, 391 nucleotides. RefSeq lists it as uncharacterized. The record is from RefSeq and is a predicted model, not a curated record. NCBI's taxonomy places the organism in Eukaryota, Metazoa, Cnidaria, Anthozoa, Malacalcyonacea, Xeniidae. The transcript is spliced from 2 exons.
AUAGCGAUUACGAUGAUGCCGACGAUACACAUGAAAACUUCAUAAGCGAUUUCAAUGAAAUGUUCUAUUAAGAAUGCACUGCUCAGCAGUGUGUACAUCAGGAACUAGAUGGCGACCAAAGGAUUCUGAUCUUUUUGUCCAUCAAGCAGCUAUGGAAGAUUAAUAGCUAAACAUAUCAUUUCAAAUUAACUUAGAAGGAUUGAUCCCUAAUCAUUAUUUAGCACCGUUUUUUGAAUAUGAGCCAGCAAAUUUAGUGAAUUUCACACAAAAACAAUAUGGCGGAUAUAGUAAAUAAAUGUCGAAUUUUUGAUGGCUCUAGCUCUCUUGAUUGCAAGUUUUCGGGAUGUAAACAGGCAGAUUUAUGUUAAGUGAGUACAUAUCAGUACAUCUA